Molecule: non-coding RNA, 23 nt
Filed under: Cricetulus griseus (Chinese hamster)
Lineage: Eukaryota; Metazoa; Chordata; Mammalia; Rodentia; Cricetidae
Source: RNAcentral
CAAGUCUGGAAAGUUGAAAGGAG